This 69-nucleotide transfer RNA is filed under the name Rattus norvegicus (Norway rat). It matches the Rfam family "tRNA". Rfam says of the family: Transfer RNA (tRNA) molecules are approximately 80 nucleotides in length. Their secondary structure includes four short double-helical elements and three loops (D, anti-codon, and T loops). The record is from Rfam by way of RNAcentral. Lineage: Eukaryota; Metazoa; Chordata; Mammalia; Rodentia; Muridae.
GGGGAUUUAGCUCAGUGGUAGAGCGCUUGCCUUGCAAGCACAAGGCCCUGGGUUCAGUCCCCAGCUCCU